CCUACGGGGGGCAGCAGUAGGGAAUCUUCGGCAAUGGGGGCAACCCUGACCGAGCAACGCCGCGUGAGUGAAGAAGGUUUUCGGAUCGUAAAGCUCUGUUGUAAGUCAAGAACGAGUGUGAGAGUGGAAAGUUCACACUGUGACGGUAGCUUACCAGAAAGGGACGGCUAACUACGUGCCAGCAGCCGCGGUAAUACGUAGGUCCCGAGCGUUGUCCGGAUUUAUUGGGCGUAAAGCGAGCGCAGGCGGUUUGAUAAGUCUGAAGUUAAAGGCUGUGGCUCAACCAUAGUUCGCUUUGGAAACUGUCAAACUUGAGUGCAGAAGGGGAGAGUGGAAUUCCAUGUGUAGCGGUGAAAUGCGUAGAUAUAUGGAGGAACACCGGUGGCGAAAGCGGCUCUCUGGUCUGUAACUGACGCUGAGGCUCGAAAGCGUGGGGAGCGAACAGGAUUAGAUACCCCGGUAGUC
RNAcentral lists this ribosomal RNA (465 nucleotides) under uncultured Streptococcus sp. RNAcentral's name for it is "bacterial SSU rRNA". It matches the Rfam family "Bacterial small subunit ribosomal RNA", at positions 338 to 795 of the family's 1533-position model. Lineage: Bacteria; Bacillati; Bacillota; Bacilli; Lactobacillales; Streptococcaceae. The record is from RNAcentral.